RNAcentral lists this ribosomal RNA (1468 nucleotides) under Klebsiella aerogenes. Its description in RNAcentral is "bacterial SSU rRNA". It matches the Rfam family "Bacterial small subunit ribosomal RNA". Lineage: Bacteria; Pseudomonadati; Pseudomonadota; Gammaproteobacteria; Enterobacterales; Enterobacteriaceae. The record is from RNAcentral.
CACAGAGAGCUUGCUCUCGGGUGACGAGCGGCGGACGGGUGAGUAAUGUCUGGGAAACUGCCUGAUGGAGGGGGAUAACUACUGGAAACGGUAGCUAAUACCGCAUAACGUCGCAAGACCAAAGUGGGGGACCUUCGGGCCUCAUGCCAUCAGAUGUGCCCAGAUGGGAUUAGCUAGUAGGUGGGGUAAUGGCUCACCUAGGCGACGAUCCCUAGCUGGUCUGAGAGGAUGACCAGCCACACUGGAACUGAGACACGGUCCAGACUCCUACGGGAGGCAGCAGUGGGGAAUAUUGCACAAUGGGCGCAAGCCUGAUGCAGCCAUGCCGCGUGUAUGAAGAAGGCCUUCGGGUUGUAAAGUACUUUCAGCGAGGAGGAAGGCGUUAAGGUUAAUAACCUUGGCGAUUGACGUUACUCGCAGAAGAAGCACCGGCUAACUCCGUGCCAGCAGCCGCGGUAAUACGGAGGGUGCAAGCGUUAAUCGGAAUUACUGGGCGUAAAGCGCACGCAGGCGGUCUGUCAAGUCGGAUGUGAAAUCCCCGGGCUCAACCUGGGAACUGCAUUCGAAACUGGCAGGCUAGAGUCUUGUAGAGGGGGGUAGAAUUCCAGGUGUAGCGGUGAAAUGCGUAGAGAUCUGGAGGAAUACCGGUGGCGAAGGCGGCCCCCUGGACAAAGACUGACGCUCAGGUGCGAAAGCGUGGGGAGCAAACAGGAUUAGAUACCCUGGUAGUCCACGCCGUAAACGAUGUCGACUUGGAGGUUGUGCCCUUGAGGCGUGGCUUCCGGAGCUAACGCGUUAAGUCGACCGCCUGGGGAGUACGGCCGCAAGGUUAAAACUCAAAUGAAUUGACGGGGGCCCGCACAAGCGGUGGAGCAUGUGGUUUAAUUCGAUGCAACGCGAAGAACCUUACCUACUCUUGACAUCCAGAGAACUUAGCAGAGAUGCUUUGGUGCCUUCGGGAACUCUGAGACAGGUGCUGCAUGGCUGUCGUCAGCUCGUGUUGUGAAAUGUUGGGUUAAGUCCCGCAACGAGCGCAACCCUUAUCCUUUGUUGCCAGCGGUUAGGCCGGGAACUCAAAGGAGACUGCCAGUGAUAAACUGGAGGAAGGUGGGGAUGACGUCAAGUCAUCAUGGCCCUUACGAGUAGGGCUACACACGUGCUACAAUGGCAUAUACAAAGAGAAGCGACCUCGCGAGAGCAAGCGGACCUCAUAAAGUAUGUCGUAGUCCGGAUUGGAGUCUGCAACUCGACUCCAUGAAGUCGGAAUCGCUAGUAAUCGUAGAUCAGAAUGCUACGGUGAAUACGUUCCCGGGCCUUGUACACACCGCCCGUCACACCAUGGGAGUGGGUUGCAAAAGAAGUAGGUAGCUUAACCUUCGGGAGGGCGCUUACCACUUUGUGAUUCAUGACUGGGGUGAAGUCGUAACAAGGUAACCGUAGGGGAACCUGCGGUUGGAUCACCUCCUUA